This 253-nucleotide ribosomal RNA is filed under the name uncultured bacterium. RNAcentral describes it as "partial 16S ribosomal RNA". It matches the Rfam family "Bacterial small subunit ribosomal RNA", at positions 524 to 776 of the family's 1533-position model. The record is from RNAcentral.
UACAGAGGGGGCAAGCGUUGUUCGGAAUUACUGGGCGUAAAGGGCGCGUAGGCGGCCUUCUAAGUCGAACGUGAAAUCCCCGGGCUCAACCCGGGAACUGCGUCCGAUACUGGAAGGCUUGAAUCCAGGAGAGGGAUGCGGAAUUCCAGGUGUAGCGGUGAAAUGCGUAGAUAUCUGGAGGAACACCGGUGGCGAAGGCGGCAUCCUGGACCGGUAUUGACGCUGAGGCGCGAAAGCCAGGGGAGCAAACGGG